Molecule: ribosomal RNA, 484 nt
Filed under: uncultured bacterium
Lineage: Bacteria
Description: partial 16S ribosomal RNA
Rfam family: Bacterial small subunit ribosomal RNA
Source: RNAcentral
AUUGAACGCUGGCGGCAGGCCUAACACAUGCAAGUCGAGCGGAUGAAGGGAGCUUGCUCCUGGAUUCAGCGGCGGACGAGUGAGUAAUGCCUAGGAAUCUGCCUGGUAGUGGGGGAUAACGUCCGGAAACGGGCGCUAAUACCGCAUACGUCCUGAGGGAGAAAGUGGGGGAUCUUCGGACCUCACGCUAUCAGAUGAGCCUAGGUCGGAUUAGCUAGUUGGUGGGGUAAAGGCCUACCAAGGCGACGAUCCGUAACUGGUCUGAGAGGAUGAUCAGUCACACUGGAACUGAGACACGGUCCAGACUCCUACGGGAGGCAGCAGUGGGGAAUAUUGGACAAUGGGCGAAAGCCUGAUCCAGCCAUGCCGCGUGUGUGAAGAAGGUCUUCGGAUUGUAAAGCACUUUAAGUUGGGAGGAAGGGCAGUAAGUUAAUACCUUGCUGUUUUGACGUUACCAACAGAAUAAGCACCGGUUAACUUCGUG